RNAcentral lists this long non-coding RNA (515 nucleotides) under Phoenix dactylifera (date palm). RNAcentral describes it as "long non-coding RNA (PDAC_LNC020339)". The record is from RNAcentral. Lineage: Eukaryota; Viridiplantae; Streptophyta; Magnoliopsida; Arecales; Arecaceae.
UUUCCAUAUCAUCUCCAUUUAAAAAUUCAAUAUUCCGAGUCAACCCCAAUUCCUUUUCUUAGCGUAUUCCUCCCAAACAGUUUAUUUCUCCUUCACUCCCAUGUUCACAAACAAAGUCUCAACAUCUUCACUCCCAGCCGCAUCCCUUCAUUACCGUUUAGCAUCCAUCAACAAAUUCCACGCGUCUCUCUUCCUAACCUCCCAACUCCAUGCUCCCAAGUUCAUUUCCUCUUCCGAUUCCUUCUCAAACCGAAUCUAGAUUAGAACAAAAGCAUCCCUGUUUCUCCGUGACAUCCUCCACAUCCUUUCCGAGCUUAUCUUCCCAAGGAAUAAAACUGGACUCCCAGCUGCCAGCCGUGAACUUCAUCCGCAUCAUCCUCUGUUUCGGAACAGAGAAGCAUCUUUAUCUUCUUCCAGCUCACGGCUCUUCUUCCCAGCCAAAUCCUCUCUCCGAAUCCCCUGUUUCAUCUAAACUGCCAGCCGAAUCCCAUGAUUUUUUCCCACGCAUCUGGUUC